This 72-nucleotide transfer RNA is filed under the name Camelus bactrianus (Bactrian camel). It matches the Rfam family "tRNA". From Rfam's summary of the family: Transfer RNA (tRNA) molecules are approximately 80 nucleotides in length. Their secondary structure includes four short double-helical elements and three loops (D, anti-codon, and T loops). Further hydrogen bonds mediate the characteristic L-shaped molecular structure. tRNAs have two regions of fundamental functional importance: the anti-codon, which is responsible for specific mRNA codon recognition, and the 3' end, to which the tRNAs corresponding amino acid is attached (by aminoacyl-tRNA synthetases). tRNAs cope with the degeneracy of the genetic code in two manners: having more than one tRNA (with a specific anti-codon) for a particular amino acid; and 'wobble' base-pairing, i.e. permitting non-standard base-pairing at the 3rd anti-codon position. RNAcentral also lists the same sequence under 2 other names. Lineage: Eukaryota; Metazoa; Chordata; Mammalia; Artiodactyla; Camelidae. The record is from Rfam by way of RNAcentral.
GUGGGUACAGCUUAGUGGUAAAGUGCAUGGUUAGCAUGCACAAGGUCCUGGGUUCAAUUCUCAGUACUUCCA